AGUGUAAUAUCUGAGUCAAAUGGUAAGUCCAUUCCAAGUUUUCUAAGGAAUCUCCCUACUGCUUUCCAGAUUGGCUGCACCAAUUUGCAGUCCCACCAGCAAU
RNAcentral lists this microRNA precursor (103 nucleotides) under Marmota monax (woodchuck). The record is from RNAcentral. Lineage: Eukaryota; Metazoa; Chordata; Mammalia; Rodentia; Sciuridae.